Molecule: ribosomal RNA, 438 nt
Filed under: uncultured fungus
Lineage: Eukaryota; Fungi
Description: eukaryotic LSU rRNA
Rfam family: 5.8S ribosomal RNA (bases 123-276)
Source: RNAcentral
UUCCGUAGGUGAACCUGCGGAAGGAUCAUUAAAGUUUGCUUAAUUGCAUUACACAUGUUUUUUUAGAGAACUUGCUUGCAAGAACACUAAUAAUUUACUUAGUCAACAAAUAAAAAUAUCAAAACUUUCAACAACGGAUCUCUUGGUUCUCGCAUCGAUGAAGAACGCAGCGAAAUGCGAUACGUAAUAUGAAUUGCAGAUUUUCGUGAAUCAUCGAAUCUUUGAACGCACAUUGCGCCCUGUGGUAUUCCACAGGGCAUGCCUGUUUGAGCGUCAUUUCUCCCUCAAACCUCUGGUUUGGCGUUGAGUGAUACUCGGUUUACUUGAAAAACAUGAAAAGCAUAACUAUUAGGUUUUACCAACUCGUUAUACUAAUCUACAAGUUUGACCUCAAAUCAGGUAGGACUACCCGCUGAACUUAAGCAUAUCAAUAAGCGG